GACGAACGCUGGCGGCGUGCCUAAUACAUGCAAGUCGAGCGCUGAAGGUUGGUACUUGUACCAACUGGAUGAGCAGCGAACGGGUGAGUAACGCGUGGGGAAUCUGCCUUUGAGCGGGGGUCACCAUUUGGAAACGAAUGCUAAUACCGCAUAAAAACUUUAAACACAAGGUUCAAGUUUGAAAGAUGCAAUUGCAUCACGCAACGAUGAGGCCGCGUUGUAUUAGCUAGUUGGUGAGGUAAAGGGUCAUCAAGGCGAUGAUACAUAGCCGACCUGGGGGGGGGAGGGGCCCCGUUGGGCUGGGGACACGGCCCAGACCCCUCCGGGGGGCAACGGUGGGGAAUCUUGGGCCAUGGACGAAAGUCUGACCGGGCGACGCGGCGUGAGGGGAGAAGGGUUUCGGUUCGGGAAACUCUGUUGGUAGAGCGGAGCGUAGGGGAGAGUGGAAAGCGCAUCAAGUGACGGUAACUGCGCAGAAAGCGACGGCUAACUACGUG
Molecule: ribosomal RNA, 497 nt
Filed under: uncultured bacterium
Lineage: Bacteria
Description: partial 16S ribosomal RNA
Rfam family: Bacterial small subunit ribosomal RNA
Source: RNAcentral